AGUGAACGCUGGCGGUAGGCCUAACACAUGCAAGUCGAACGGCAGCACAGUAAGAGCUUGCUCUUACGGGUGGCGAGUGGCGGACGGGUGAGGAAUACAUCGGAAUCUACUUUUUCGUGGGGGAUAACGUAGGGAAACUUACGCUAAUACCGCAUACGACCUACGGGUGAAAGCAGGGGAUCUUCGGACCUUGCGCGACUGAAUGAGCCGAUGUCGGAUUAGCUAGUUGGGGGGGUAAAGGCCCACCAAGGCGACGAUCCGUAGCUGGUCUGAGAGGAUGAUCAGCCACACUGGAACUGAGACACGGUCCAGACUCCUACGGGAGGCAGCAGUGGGGAAUAUUGGACAAUGGGCGCAAGCCUGAUCCAGCCAUACCGCGUGGGUGAAGAAGGCCUUCGGGUUGUAAAGCCCUUUUGUUGGGAAAGAAAAGCAGCAGGUUAAUACCCCGCUGUUCUGACGGUACCCAAAGAAUAAGCACCGGCUAACUUCGUG
RNAcentral lists this ribosomal RNA (492 nucleotides) under uncultured bacterium. Its description in RNAcentral is "partial 16S ribosomal RNA". It matches the Rfam family "Bacterial small subunit ribosomal RNA", at positions 29 to 507 of the family's 1533-position model. The record is from RNAcentral.